This 492-nucleotide ribosomal RNA is filed under the name uncultured bacterium. Its description in RNAcentral is "partial 16S ribosomal RNA". It matches the Rfam family "Bacterial small subunit ribosomal RNA", at positions 29 to 507 of the family's 1533-position model. The record is from RNAcentral.
AGUGAACGCUGGCGGUAGGCCUAACACAUGCAAGUCGAACGGCAGCACAGUAAGAGCUUGCUCUUACGGGUGGCGAGUGGCGGACGGGUGAGGAAUACAUCGGAAUCUACUUUUUCGUGGGGGAUAACGUAGGGAAACUUACGCUAAUACCACAUACGACCUACGGGUGAAAGCAGGGGAUCUUCGGACCUUGCGCGAUUGAAUGAGCCGAUGUCGGAUUAGCUAGUUGGCGGGGUAAAGGCCCACCAAGGCGACGAUCCGUAGCUGGUCUGAGAGGAUGAUCAGCCACACUGGAACUGAGACACGGUCCAGACUCCUACGGGAGGCAGCAAUGGGGAAUAUUGGACAAUGGGCGCAAGCCUGAUCCAGCCAUACCGCGUGGGUGAAGAAGGCCUUCGGGUUGUAAAGCCCUUUUGUUGGGAAAGAAAAGCAGCAGGUUAAUACCCCGCUGUUCUGACGGUACCCAAAGAAUAAGCACCGGCUAACUUCGUG